AUUGAACGCUGGCGGCAGGCCUAACACAUGCAAGUCGAACGAGAGGCGGACGGGUGAGUUAUGUAUGGGACUCUGCCUGCUGGAGAGGGAUAUCUACUGGGAACGGUAACUACUACCACAUCCCAUACGCUGUGCCCGAGUGGGUUUAGCUUGUUGGUGGGGUAACGGAUCACCAAGGCGACGAUCCAUAGCUGGUCUGAGAGGAUGACCAGCCACACUGGAACUGAGACACGGUCCAGACUCCUACGGGAGGCAGCAGUGGGGAAUAUUGCACAAUGGGCGCAAGCCUGAUGCAGCCAUGCCGCGUGUGUGAAGAAGGCCUUCGGAUUGUAAAGUACUUUCAGCUGGGAGGCGUUACCCGCAGAAUAAGCACCGGCUAACUACGUGCCAGCAGCCGCGGUAAUUC
RNAcentral lists this ribosomal RNA (406 nucleotides) under uncultured bacterium. RNAcentral describes it as "partial 16S ribosomal RNA". It matches the Rfam family "Bacterial small subunit ribosomal RNA", at positions 30 to 526 of the family's 1533-position model. The record is from RNAcentral.